Molecule: ribosomal RNA, 404 nt
Filed under: uncultured bacterium
Lineage: Bacteria
Description: partial 16S ribosomal RNA
Rfam family: Bacterial small subunit ribosomal RNA
Source: RNAcentral
GAUGAACGCUGACAGAAUGCUUAACACAUGCAAGUCAACUGUGGCGGACGGGUGAGUAACGCGUAAAGAACUUGCCUCACAGAUAGGGACAAAAUUUGGAAACGAAUGCUAAUACCUGAUACUGUGAGAGAGCUUUGCGUCCCAUUAGCUAGUUGGAGAGGUAACGGCUCAACAAGGCGAUGAUGGGUAGCCGGCCUGAGAGGGUGAUCGGCCACAAGGGGACUGGGACACGUGCCUUACGCCUGCGGGGGGCAGCAGUGCGGAAUAUUGGACAAUGUACCAAAGUCUGAUCCAGCAAUUCUGUGUGCACGAUGAUGUUGUCGGAAUGUAAAGUGCUUUCAGUUGGGAAGCAGUACCAACAGAAGAAGUGACGGCUAAAUACGUGCCAGCAGCCGCGGUAAUAC